CCCUUAGAUGUCCUGGGCCGCACGCGCGCUACACUGAUGCAUGCAACGAGUUUAUACCUUGGCCUGAAAGGUCUGGGUAAUCUUUUGAACGUGCAUCGUGAUAGGGAUAGAUUAUUGCAAUUGUUAAUCUUGAACGAGGAAUUCCUAGUAAACGCGAGUCAUCAGCUCGCAUUGAUUACGUCCCUGCCCUUUGUACACACCGCCCGUCGCACCUACCGAUUGAAUGGUUCGGUGAAGAUCUCGGACUUCGAUAUUUAUUCUUUAUUGAGUUUAUAUUGUGGGAAGUUAUCUAAACCUCAUCAUUUAGAGGAAGGUGAAGUCGUAACA
This 327-nucleotide ribosomal RNA is filed under the name uncultured eukaryote. RNAcentral describes it as "partial 18S ribosomal RNA". It matches the Rfam family "Eukaryotic small subunit ribosomal RNA", at positions 1470 to 1796 of the family's 1831-position model. The record is from RNAcentral.